AAUAAUAUCCUUCGAUAUCUUUUAUUGUCUUUUGGUGAAUAUAUCGCGAUAGAAGACUGAAAAUCCCCGUGUCGGCAGUUCGAUUCUGUCCCUGGCCACCA
RNAcentral lists this transfer RNA (101 nucleotides) under Candidatus Thiodiazotropha taylori. RNAcentral's name for it is "tRNA-Phe". The record is from RNAcentral. Lineage: Bacteria; Pseudomonadati; Pseudomonadota; Gammaproteobacteria; Chromatiales; Sedimenticolaceae.